Molecule: ribosomal RNA, 410 nt
Filed under: Ehrlichia canis
Lineage: Bacteria; Pseudomonadati; Pseudomonadota; Alphaproteobacteria; Rickettsiales; Anaplasmataceae
Description: bacterial SSU rRNA
Rfam family: Bacterial small subunit ribosomal RNA
Source: RNAcentral
UUUAUAGCCUCUGGCUAUAGGAAAUUGUUAGUGGCAGACGGGUGAGUAAUGCGUAGGAAUCUACCUAGUAGUACGGAAUAGCCAUUAGAAAUGGUGGGUAAUACUGUAUAAUCCCCGAGGGGGAAAGAUUUAUCGCUAUUAGAUGAGCCUACGUUAGAUUAGCUAGUUGGUGAGGUAAUGGCUUACCAAGGCUAUGAUCUAUAGCUGGUCUGAGAGGACGAUCAGCCACACUGGAACUGAGAUACGGUCCAGACUCCUACGGGAGGCAGCAGUGGGGAAUAUUGGACAAUGGGCGAAAGCCUGAUCCAGCUAUGCCGCGUGAGUGAAGAAGGCCUUCGGGUUGUAAAACUCUUUCAAUAGGGAAGAUAAUGACGGUACCUAUAGAAGAAGUCCCGGCAAACUCUGUGCCA